UACGUAGGCAGCGAGCGUUGUUCGGAGUUACUGGGCGUAAAGCGUGCGUAGGCGGUGGUCCAAGUCUGGUGUGAAAUCUCCCGGCUCAACUGGGAGGGUGCGCCGGAAACUGGGCCGCUGGAGUAUGGGAGAGGCAAGCGGAAUUCCAGGUGUAGCGGUGAAAUGCGUAGAUAUCGAGAGGAACACCUGCGGCGAAGGCGGGUUGCUGGGCCGACACUGACGCUGAGGCGCGAAAGCCAGGGGAGCGAACGGG
This 253-nucleotide ribosomal RNA is filed under the name uncultured bacterium. RNAcentral's name for it is "partial 16S ribosomal RNA". It matches the Rfam family "Bacterial small subunit ribosomal RNA", at positions 524 to 776 of the family's 1533-position model. The record is from RNAcentral.